UUGACCUCGGAUCAGGUAGGAAUACCCGCUGAACUUAAGCAUAUCAAUAAGCGGAGGAAAAGAAACCAACAGGGAUUGCCCUAGUAACGGCGAGUGAAGCGGCAACAGCUCAAAUUUGAAAUCUGGCUCUCGGGCCCGAGUUGUAAUUUGUAGAGGAUGCUUUUGGUGAGGUGCCUUCCGAGUUCCCUGGAACGGGACGCCAUAGAGGGUGAGAGCCCCGUCUGGUUGGA
RNAcentral lists this ribosomal RNA (230 nucleotides) under Fusarium buxicola. RNAcentral's name for it is "partial 28S ribosomal RNA". It matches the Rfam family "Eukaryotic large subunit ribosomal RNA", at positions 1 to 233 of the family's 3401-position model. The record is from RNAcentral. Lineage: Eukaryota; Fungi; Ascomycota; Sordariomycetes; Hypocreales; Nectriaceae.